CAGCCUCCCGGGCGUCCAUUGAAAUCAGCCCUUUGUUUGAUUUCCUUCAGUCUCUGGGGUUUGCCACCCUCGGUGCCACGGGACCGAGCUGUGCGAAGGCUCGAUCCCGUCGGUCCAAAGUCCUGGGCAGCGUUUCCAGCAGCAGGGGCUGGAGGCAUCGGGGGCUGCCUUUGGAGCCUUGUUCUCCCCUUGGCUUUUACAGAGGGUGCCAGACUCUGCCCUUAAGGAUCCAGUGUUGCUUUUGGACGUUGAUCCUGCAGCUGGACAGGCGGUGCAGUGAGGAGCAAGUUGCUGGCUUACGUGAUUUCUGAGUGACCUGUCACAGAAACGGGCAUCUGUGUGUGCAGGUGCUUCCUGGCAAAUCCAGAUGUGACGUGGAAAUCCUAAGGGAGGAGUUCCAGCCUUGACCACGCGUGACACAGGCUUGUGGAAAUGGAAAUGGCCUUGGCAGAAGAGCAGCUGUGAGGUGAAGCAGGACUGCAAUACAGGUGCUGCCCAGGGGGGACAUCUGUGGCCUCAGACAGCGAUGGCCUUGGAGCAAGGGGAGCCUUUGCACAGCUCACCUGCAGAGCUCAGGUGGAUGGGACAGGAUUGGUGUGGCCUGAGAAGUCCUGAACAGCUGUG
This is a long non-coding RNA of Cinclus cinclus, 624 nucleotides long. RefSeq lists it as uncharacterized. The transcript is spliced from 3 exons. Lineage: Eukaryota; Metazoa; Chordata; Aves; Passeriformes; Cinclidae. The record is from RefSeq and is a predicted model, not a curated record.